This 77-nucleotide transfer RNA is filed under the name Podarcis lilfordi (Lilford's wall lizard). Its description in RNAcentral is "tRNA.Ile". It matches the Rfam family "tRNA". Rfam says of the family: Transfer RNA (tRNA) molecules are approximately 80 nucleotides in length. Their secondary structure includes four short double-helical elements and three loops (D, anti-codon, and T loops). Lineage: Eukaryota; Metazoa; Chordata; Lepidosauria; Squamata; Lacertidae. The record is from RNAcentral.
GUUCUCUAUUUAGCUCAGUUGGUUAGAGCGUGGUGCUGAUAACGCCAAGGUUGCAGGCUUGAUUCCCAUAUGGGACA